RNAcentral lists this ribosomal RNA (718 nucleotides) under gamma proteobacterium IMCC14646. Its description in RNAcentral is "bacterial SSU rRNA". It matches the Rfam family "Bacterial small subunit ribosomal RNA", at positions 28 to 743 of the family's 1533-position model. Lineage: Bacteria; Pseudomonadati; Pseudomonadota; Gammaproteobacteria. The record is from RNAcentral.
AUUGAACGCUGGCGGCAGGCCUAACACAUUCAAGUCGAAACGGUAACAGGAUAGCUUGCUAUCGCUGACGAGUGGCGGACGGGUGAGUAAUACUUAGGGAUCUGCCUCUGUGUGGGGGAUAACUAUUGGAAACGAUAGCUAAUACCGCAUAAUGUCUACGGACCAAAGAGGGCUUUUAGCUCUCGCGCAGAGAGGAACCUAAGCGAGAUUAGCUAGUUGGUGAGGUAAAGGCUCACCAAGGCGACGAUCUCUAGCUGUUCUGAGAGGAAGAUCAGCCACACUGGAACUGAGACACGGUCCAGACUCCUACGGGAGGCAGCAGUGGGGAAUAUUGCACAAUGGGGGAAACCCUGAUGCAGCCAUGCCGCGUGUGUGAAGAAGGCCUUCGGGUUGUAAAGCACUUUCAGUUGUGAGGAAAGUUUAGUAGUUAAUACCUGCUAGAUGUGACGUUAGCAACAGAAGAAGCACCGGCUAACUCCGUGCCAGCAGCCGCGGUAAUACGGAGGGUGCGAGCGUUAAUCGGAAUUACUGGGCGUAAAGCGCACGCAGGCGGUCUGUUAAGCUAGAUGUGAAAGCCCCGCGCUCAACGUGGGAGGGUCAUUUAGAACUGGCAGACUAGAGUCUUGGAGAGGGGAGUGGAAUUCCAGGUGUAGCGGUGAAAUGCGUAGAGAUCUGGAGGAACAUCAAUGGCGAAGGCAACUCCCUGGCCAAAGACUGA